UAGGGUGGGGGGGGUCUUGCUGUGGGAGGGGGCACGGGACCCUCCCCUUCCUGGUCUGACGGGCCCCGCCCUCCCUCCCUCCCUCCCUCCCUCCCUCCCCGGCUGCAGGUACGUGGUCUUCCACCAGGACCUUUGCGCCUGCGCAUCGACCUACCCGGACCACGUCCAGCGCGAACUCUGCUCCUACAGCACCUCCCUCAGCCGAUACUUCCACCUCCGCGACGUCUUCCGGGGGAAACCAGUAAGAAGAAUAGUGUCCGCAGCUGAAGAGGAAGAACCGGCUGGAAAUGUGGAAGGAGGAGGAGGAGGAGAAGGAGGAAGAGAAGACGACGGAGGAGGAGGAGGAGGAGAAGAGAAGGAGGCGGAAGUGGAGCCCGGAAGCGGAGAGGAGAGGAAGCAGGAGGAGGAAGAGAAAGACGGAGGAGGAGGAGAGGCGGCACACAGCAGCGCCAAGGAGGAGGAAGAGAAGGAGGAAGAAGAAGAGGAGGAGGAGGGCUCUGCCCCAGAGAGUGAGGGCUCUCCUGGAAAUGUCCGGGAAGAAGGCGGAACAGGAGCCGAGGAGCCGGCCCCUCCUCCGCCCCCGCCUUCGGAAGGCUCCGAGCAGGAAGAGGAAGGGGAGGAGGAAGAGGAGGAGGGGUCCUCCUUCUCCACGUCCCGCGGAAACACCUACCGCGUGAACCUUCGCCUGCGGAAGUCCCAGAUCCGGAAGCCGGAGAAGUACUUCGCCGGGAAGCUGAAGGGCCAGCUCUUGCCCGCCUACCUGGAGCAGGCCUACCUCUCCGAGGCCUUCGUGGCCGAGCUCAGGAGGAGGUGAGCCAGCUGGUUGUGUAGAGUGUGCAAGCGUUGAAUAAAAAGUCAUGCCUCCACCUUGGUGGCAGUCCUGGCUUGCUCAGCAGACUCCUCUACAGUUAGUUCCAUUUGGCGGGAAGCCUUAGCAUUGGACGGUUGUGUUGUUAAAGUGCGAAGUAUGGAACCCUGCACAGACGGGGAAGCCUUAGCAUUGAACUGUUGUGUUGUUAAAGAGUGAAGUAUGGAACCCUGUUCCAGCGGAAGCGUGCUGGGCCCAUAACCAAUUGU
RNAcentral lists this long non-coding RNA (1077 nucleotides) under Anolis carolinensis (green anole). RNAcentral's name for it is "lncRNA (ENSACAG00000030954.2)". Lineage: Eukaryota; Metazoa; Chordata; Lepidosauria; Squamata; Anolidae. The record is from RNAcentral.